GGAUAAGUGCUGAAAGCAUCUAAGCACGAAACUUGCCCCGAGAUGAGUUCUCCCUGAGACUUUAAGUCUCCUGAAGGAACGUUGAAGACGACGACGUUGAUAGGCCGGGUGUGUAAGCGCAGCGAUGCGUUGAGCUAACCGGUACUAAUGAACCGUGAGGCUUAACCUUAC
This 171-nucleotide ribosomal RNA is filed under the name Klebsiella pneumoniae subsp. pneumoniae KPNIH22. RNAcentral's name for it is "partial 23S ribosomal RNA". It matches the Rfam family "Bacterial large subunit ribosomal RNA", at positions 2762 to 2925 of the family's 2925-position model. The record is from RNAcentral. Lineage: Bacteria; Pseudomonadati; Pseudomonadota; Gammaproteobacteria; Enterobacterales; Enterobacteriaceae.